UACGGGGGGGGCAAGCGUUGCUCGGAAUUACUGGGCGUAAAGGGCUCGUAGGCGGCCAACUAAGUCAGACGUGAAAUCCCUCGGCUUAACCGGGGAACUGCGUCUGAUACUGGAUGGCUGGAGGUUGGGAGAGGGAUGCGGAAUUCCAGGUGUAGCGGUGAAAUGCGUAGAUAUCUGGAGGAACACCGGUGGCGAAGGCGGCAUCCUGGACCAAUUCUGACGCUGAGGAGCGAAAGCCAGGGGAGCAAACGGG
Molecule: ribosomal RNA, 253 nt
Filed under: uncultured bacterium
Lineage: Bacteria
Description: partial 16S ribosomal RNA
Rfam family: Bacterial small subunit ribosomal RNA
Source: RNAcentral